UGGCCACAUUGUGUUGAAACACAGGUUCCCAUACAAUCACCGAAGAUAAGCAACACUGAGCCUGGUCAGUAUCUUCAUAGAAGAUCACUUGGGAAUACCAGGUGCUGUAAG
Molecule: non-coding RNA, 111 nt
Organism: Acanthosepion pharaonis
Lineage: Eukaryota; Metazoa; Mollusca; Cephalopoda; Sepiida; Sepiidae
Source: the annotation of a GenBank genome assembly